UACAGAGGGUGCAAGCGUUAAUCGGAGUUACUGGGCGUAAAGGGCACGUAGGCGGUCGAAUAAGUCAGUUGUGAAAUCCCCGGGCUUAACCUGGGAACUGCAGCUGAUACUGUGCGACUAGAGUCGAAGAGAGGGAAGCGGAAUUUCCGGUGUAGCGGUGAAAUGCGUAGAUAUCGGAAGGAACAUCUGUGGCGAAGGCGGCUUCCUGGCUUCAGACUGACGCUGAGGUGCGAAAGCGUGGGUAGCGAACAGG
RNAcentral lists this ribosomal RNA (253 nucleotides) under uncultured bacterium. Its description in RNAcentral is "partial 16S ribosomal RNA". It matches the Rfam family "Bacterial small subunit ribosomal RNA", at positions 524 to 776 of the family's 1533-position model. The record is from RNAcentral.